GUCCAUUUAUUCAUUCAAUCAUAUGACAAACAUUUAUGGAGCUCCUAGUAUCUUCCCUAUAUUAGACUAGGAGGAGCUGCUAGGGAGAGAGAAACAUAAACACACUCUCUUGUCCUCUUCUUGCAAAUCUGUAUGUAUUAGUCAUAGUUCAGAUUCUGCCACGUCCAAGGAAAAGACUCUUCAACUGGGUACCAAAAGCAAGGUCAGGAGAAACUCAACGGCGUGAUUCUAUUAUUGGUCUAGCUUUCUGGGUGUGAGAAACAGGAAGAGUAAUUGCGACAACUCUAGGGUUCUUUUAAGUCUUGAGUCAUAAGCCAGAUCAACGGUUACCGGUGAAGGGCUUGUCAGUUUAGCAGUUGUCUCUAUUCAAGGAGAUAACUGGUUGCUCAGGAGGAAAUGCCAAUGUUCACCCCUACCCCAACCUCCCUCCCACAGGAAGCCCAACCUUUCUGAGCACAGUUGAGAGGUUCCCCAUUUUGAUUCCACUUCCCUCCCCACCCAGCUGACCCUUGCAGGGAGAAUGAAGUCUGCCAUUUUGCACAGUUUUGCCUUUUCUGCUGUAAAUAAAUUGUUAAGACUCUUAAACCUGUCAGCGAAGCGGUUUCCAACCCAGUCUGGGGGUAAUAAUCUCCCUUUCUAAGAGAUAAGUACCCUGAGUAAGGCAGAUUGAAAGACAAACUAACACACCAAAGUUGCUGAGUGCACACAACUCUUUGAAGAUGCUUCACCUCUCAGGCUUUAUUUGCUUAAGGAAAAAAAAAAGUCUAGCUUGGAGGUUUCAGAAACUCACUUAGAAAUUACUAGACACUCCCUGGUAAAAAAACGCCAGUGCAUUUUCUUGUGCAGGAGCCAAACAUACACUUCUUGCAGCAGAGAGGUAGAUGGAGGAAGGUGAGCAGGGAGGGCCUACUGGAGUUUUCCAGAGGAAGGAUGUUUCUGGCAAGGCUGAAGUUUACUCGAAUCUCCCAAGUUCGAAGAAGUAGAACAAACUUCUACCUUUAGGACAGGAAAGCAUGAAUUUUGCUCUGGGAACCAGGCCCUGGUCCACAGGAGAAGAUGCCCUGGGCUGACCACACCAGCUGUUGAGCUGCUUUAUUCAUUACCCAGUUUCUAGAGUUUCAAAUGCUGAAUACCCACUCUCAGGAGUCAAUCGCAGCUGAUAAAUUCCAGGAUAAUGUUCAUAUCUUCUCUACUGUGGACUGAAAUUUCCGUAUCAGUUCUACAAAUCAAGGAGAAAAACACCAACAGCUUACUCUAAAAAGUGGGCGAAGGGCUGGCCCCGUGGCCGAGUGGUUAAGUUCGCGUGCUCCGCUGCAGGCGGCCCAGUGUUUUGUUGGUUCGAAUCCUGGGCGCGGACAUGGCACUGCUCAUCAAACCACACUGAGCAGCGUCCCACAUGCCACAACUAGAAGGACCCACAAUGAAGAAUAUACAACUAUGUACCGGGGGGCUUUGGGGAGAAAAAGGAAAAAUAAAAU
This 1478-nucleotide long non-coding RNA is filed under the name Equus caballus (horse). RNAcentral's name for it is "lncRNA (ENSECAG00000044707.1)". Lineage: Eukaryota; Metazoa; Chordata; Mammalia; Perissodactyla; Equidae. The record is from RNAcentral.